GAUGAACGCUGGCGGCGUGCCUAAUACAUGCAAGUCGAGCGAACGGACGAGAAGCUUGCUUCUCUGAUGUUAGCGGCGGACGGGUGAGUAACACGUGGAUAACCUACCUAUAAGACUGGGAUAACUUCGGGAAACCGGAGCUAAUACCGGAUAAUAUUUUGAACCGCAUGGUUCAAAAGUGAAAGACGGUCUUGCUGUCACUUAUAGAUGGAUCCGCGCUGCAUUAGCUAGUUGGUAAGGUAACGGCUUACCAAGGCAACGAUGCAUAGCCGACCUGAGAGGGUGAUCGGCCACACUGGAACUGAGACACGGUCCAGACUCCUACGGGAGGCAGCAGUAGGGAAUCUUCCGCAAUGGGCGAAAGCCUGACGGAGCAACGCCGCGUGAGUGAUGAAGGUCUUCGGAUCGUAAAACUCUGUUAUUAGGGAAGAACAUAUGUGUAAGUAACUGUGCACAUCUUGACGGUACCUAAUCAGAAAGCCACGGCUAACUACGUGCCAGCAGCCGCGGUAAUACGUAGGUGGCAAGCGUUAUCCGGAAUUAUUGGGCGUAAAGCGCGCGUAGGCGGUUUUUUAAGUCUGAUGUGAAAGCCCACGGCUCAACCGUGGAGGGUCAUUGGAAACUGGAAAACUUGAGUGCAGAAGAGGAAAGUGGAAUUCCAUGUGUAGCGGUGAAAUGCGCAGAGAUAUGGAGGAACACCAGUGGCGAAGGCGACUUUCUGGUCUGUAACUGACGCUGAUGUGCGAAAGCGUGGGGAUCAAACAGGAUUAGAUACCCUGGUAGUCCACGCCGUAAACGAUGAGUGCUAAGUGUUAGGGGGUUUCCGCCCCUUAGUGCUGCAGCUAACGCAUUAAGCACUCCGCCUGGGGAGUACGACCGCAAGGUUGAAACUCAAAGGAAUUGACGGGGACCCGCACAGGCGGUGGAGCAUGUGGUUUAAUUCGAAGCAACGCGAAGAACCUUACCAAAUCUUGACAUCCUUUGACAACUCUAGAGAUAGAGCCUUCCCCUUCGGGGGACAAAGUGACAGGUGGUGCAUGGUUGUCGUCAGCCCGUGUCGUGAGAUGUUGGGUUAAGUCCCGCAACGAGCGCAACCCUUAAGCUUAGUUGCCAUCAUUAAGUUGGGCACUCUAAGUUGACUGCCGGUGACAAACCGGAGGAAGGUGGGGAUGACGUCAAAUCAUCAUGCCCCUUAUGAUUUGGGCUACACACGUGCUACAAUGGACAAUACAAAGGGCAGCGAAACCGCGAGGUCAAGCAAAUCCCAUAAAGUUGUUCUCAGUUCGGAUUGUAGUCUGCAACUCGACUACAUGAAGCUGGAAUCGCUAGUAAUCGUAGAUCAGCAUGCUACGGUGAAUACGUUCCCGGGUCU
Molecule: ribosomal RNA, 1372 nt
Filed under: uncultured bacterium
Lineage: Bacteria
Description: bacterial SSU rRNA
Rfam family: Bacterial small subunit ribosomal RNA
Source: RNAcentral